UUCUUACUGAUUUAGCCAGGGGCAGACAUCCCCAGGCACAGGACUGCUGUUUUACCCAGGACUGUACUCCCUGCUGGCAAAUAACCUCAAAUGUUACAGAGGCUGCCAGGGAUCAUUUGAAAAAAAUGCUUUUUACAAAAAUAGAACUUUGCUUCUCCUCUAGGGGAUGUCCAAGAAGGGCUGCCAGAGUGAGAUCUCCUGGUUUCACUGACAGGAAGGGCUGCUUCACUUCCUCAGGCAGGAUACUUCUUGUCUUCUUGGGAAGAUUGUCUAGGAGCUGUAGAUAAGAAAUUCCUAAAGAUGCAUUCUCCCUAAUGGUCAAGAAAAUGAAUAUUUCUGGAAUUGCCUUAGGAGGAGUUCCACUGGAGAAUAAAGAGAGACUAAAGCCUCCCA
Molecule: long non-coding RNA, 393 nt
Filed under: Parus major (Great Tit)
Lineage: Eukaryota; Metazoa; Chordata; Aves; Passeriformes; Paridae
Description: lncRNA (ENSPMJG00000016466.1)
Source: RNAcentral